UGGUCCUACGGGACGCAGCAGUAGGGAAUCUUCCACAAUGGGCGCAAGCCUGAUGGAGCAACACCGCGUGAGUGAAGAAGGGUUUCGGCUCGUAAAGCUCUGUUGUUGGAGAAGAACGUGCGUGAGAGUAACUGUUCACGCAGUGACGGUAUCCAACCAGAAAGUCACGGCUAACUACGUGCCAGCCGCCGCGGUAAUACGUAGGUGGCGAGCGUUAUCCGGAAUGAUUGGGCGUAAAGGGUGCGUAGGCGGCCUGCUAAGUCUGGGGUGAAAGGUACCGGCUCAACCGGUACAGGCUCUGGAAA
This 305-nucleotide ribosomal RNA is filed under the name uncultured bacterium. Its description in RNAcentral is "bacterial SSU rRNA". It matches the Rfam family "Bacterial small subunit ribosomal RNA", at positions 334 to 632 of the family's 1533-position model. The record is from RNAcentral.